Non-coding RNA from Caenorhabditis briggsae, 69 nucleotides. NCBI's taxonomy places the organism in Eukaryota, Metazoa, Nematoda, Chromadorea, Rhabditida, Rhabditidae. The record is from RefSeq and is a predicted model, not a curated record.
UCGAGGCCUUCAAUAAGACCUUCAGAACAAUUUUUGGAGACCCUGUCCUAAUUUUUGAGGCAGGGAAAA